This 434-nucleotide ribosomal RNA is filed under the name uncultured Clostridium sp. RNAcentral's name for it is "partial 16S ribosomal RNA". It matches the Rfam family "Bacterial small subunit ribosomal RNA", at positions 341 to 792 of the family's 1533-position model. The record is from RNAcentral. RNAcentral also lists the same sequence under 1 other name. Lineage: Bacteria; Bacillati; Bacillota; Clostridia; Eubacteriales; Clostridiaceae.
ACGGAAGGCAGCAGUGGGGAAUAUUGCACAAUGGGCGAAAGCCUGAUGCAGCGACGCCGCGUGAGUGAAGAAGUAUCUCGGUAUGUAAAGCUCUAUCAGCAGGGAAGAAAAUGACGGUACCUGACUAAGAAGCCCCGGCUAACUACGUGCCAGCAGCCGCGGUAAUACGUAGGGGGCAAGCGUUAUCCGGAUUUACUGGGUGUAAAGGGAGCGUAGACGGUUUGGCAAGUCUGAAGUGAAAUGCGGGGGCUCAACUCCUGAACUGCUUUGGAAACUGUCGAACUAGAGUGCAGGAGAGGUAAGUGGAAUUCCUAGUGUAGCGGUGAAAUGCGCAGAUAUUAGGAGGAACACCAGUGGCGAAGGCGGCUUACUGGACUGUAACUGACGUUGAGGCUCGAAAGCGUGGGGAGCAAACAGGAUUAGAUACCCUGGUA